This 533-nucleotide ribosomal RNA is filed under the name Mucor circinelloides. Its description in RNAcentral is "partial large subunit ribosomal RNA". It matches the Rfam family "Eukaryotic large subunit ribosomal RNA", at positions 143 to 615 of the family's 3401-position model. Lineage: Eukaryota; Fungi; Mucoromycota; Mucoromycetes; Mucorales; Mucoraceae. The record is from RNAcentral.
UUGUAAACUGUAGAAACAUUUUCCUGGCACGCCGGAUUAAUAAGUCCUUUGGAACAAGGCAUCAUGGAGGGUGAGAAUCCCGUCUUUGAUCCGAGUAGUUGUCUUUUGUGAUAUGUUUUCAAAGAGUCAGGUUGUUUGGGAAUGCAGCCUAAAUUGGGUGGUAAAUCUCACCUAAAGCUAAAUAUUUGCGAGAGACCGAUAGCGAACAAGUACCGUGAGGGAAAGAUGAAAAGAACUUUGAAAAGAGAGUUAAACAGUAUGUGAAAUUGUUAAAAGGGAACCGUUUGGAGCCAGACUGGUUUGACUGUAAUCAACCUAGAAUUCGUUCUGGGUGCACUUGCAGUCUAUACCUGCCAACAACAGUUUGAUUUGGAGGAAAAAAUUAGUAGGAAUGUAGCCUCUCGAGGUGUUAUAGCCURCUAUCAUACUCUGGAUUGGACUGAGGAACGCAGCGAAUGCCWUUAGGCGAGAUUGCUGGGUGCUUUCGCUAAUAAAUGUUAGAAUUUCUGCUUCGGGUGGUGCUAAUGUUUAAA